GCAGAUGUAGUUUUGCUCAUGCUCAGCUUUCCAAACGUUCCUCUGUCCUUCGUUUGAGGCGUUUGAAGACCCAUCUUGUUGCUGUCCUGCACUCUCAGUACCAUUGUAGACUGCCGACCGCUACUCCCAGAAGUGGUUGAGCUUCGCCUCAUUGUGGCUGAGCUAUAAAUCCGGGUCUGCCGCUAUUAGGAAGUCCAGGCUCUGAGAAUAUUCGUGUUUUUGAAACGCACGAUGACUUUCUGUGAGCCUACUUAUCAGCUGCGCCUACAGCCGCCUCACCAACACCGUCCGAAGGGAACGGCCGCCCGUUACCGUUAGCAGCGCCGAAUCCUU
Molecule: long non-coding RNA, 333 nt
Filed under: Gallus gallus (chicken)
Lineage: Eukaryota; Metazoa; Chordata; Aves; Galliformes; Phasianidae
Source: RNAcentral